GGCUUUAGUGGCGGACUGGUGAGUAACGCGUAAGGAACCUACCUUUUAGAGGGGAAUAACAAUGAGAAAUCAUUGCUAAUACCGCAUAUGCCAUAGCUAUUGCAUGAUAGCAGUGGGAAAGGAGCAAUUCGCUAGAAGAUGGCCUUGCGUCUGAUUAGAUAGUUGGUGGGGUAACGGCCUACCAAGUCGACGAUCAGUAGCCGGACUGAGAGGUUGAACGGCCACAUUGGGACUGAGAUACGGCCCAGACUCCUACGGGAGGCAGCAGUCGGGAAUAUUGCGCAAUGGAGGAAACUCUGACGCAGUGACGCCGCGUAUAGGAAGAAGGUUUUCGGAUUGUAAACUAUUGUCGUUAGGGAAGAGAAAGGACAGUACCUAAGGAGGAAGCUCCGGCUAACUACGUGCCAGCAGCCGCGGUAAUACGUAGGGAGCGAGCGUUAUUCCGGAAUUAUUGGGUGUAAAGGGUGCGUAGACGGGAGAGCAAGUUAGUUGUGAAAUCCCUUCGGCUUAACUGAGGAACUGCAACUAAAACUACGAUUCUUG
This 543-nucleotide ribosomal RNA is filed under the name uncultured bacterium. Its description in RNAcentral is "bacterial SSU rRNA". It matches the Rfam family "Bacterial small subunit ribosomal RNA", at positions 88 to 644 of the family's 1533-position model. The record is from RNAcentral.